UUGCCUCAGUAACGGCGAGUGAAGCGGCAAAAGCUCAAAUUUGAAACCCUCGGGAUUGUAAUUUGAAGAUUUGGCAUUGGAGAAAGCUAACCCAAGUUGCUUGGAAUAGUACGUCAUAGAGGGUGACAACCCCGUCUGGCUAACCGUUCUCCAUGUAUUGCCUUAUCAAAGAGUCGAGUUGUUUGGGAAUGCAGCUCAAAGUGGGUGGUAAACUCCAUCUAAAGCUAAAUACUGGUGAGAGACCGAUAGCGAACAAGUACUGUGAAGGAAAGGUGAAAAGAACUUUGAAAAGAGAGUGAAAUAGUAUGUGAAAUUGUUGAUAGGGAAGGAAAUGAGUGGAGAGUGGCCGAGGUUUCAGCCGCCCCUCGUGGGCGGUGUACUGCCGACGCCGAGUCAUCGAUAGCGAGACGAGGGUUACAAAUGGGAGCGCCUUCGGGCGUUCUCCCCUAACCCUCCACACUGCCA
Molecule: ribosomal RNA, 465 nt
Filed under: Yarrowia lipolytica
Lineage: Eukaryota; Fungi; Ascomycota; Dipodascomycetes; Dipodascales
Description: LSU rRNA
Rfam family: Eukaryotic large subunit ribosomal RNA
Source: RNAcentral